This 1121-nucleotide ribosomal RNA is filed under the name uncultured bacterium. RNAcentral's name for it is "bacterial SSU rRNA". It matches the Rfam family "Bacterial small subunit ribosomal RNA", at positions 9 to 1104 of the family's 1533-position model. The record is from RNAcentral.
GAGUUUGAUCCUGGCUCAGAACGAACGCUGGCGGCGUGGAUAAGACAUGCAAGUCGAACGGGAUUUUUUCCUGUAGCAAUACAGGAAAAAGUCUAGUGGCGAACGGGUGCGUAACACGUGAGCAACCUGCCGUGAAGUGGGGGAUAGCUCGCCGAAAGGCGAAUUAAUACCGCAUGUGGCCAAGGAAGACAUCUUCCUGACGCCAAAGCCGGGGUAACCUGGCGCUUCUCGAGGGGCUCGCGGCCUAUCAGCUUGUUGGUGAGGUAACGGCUCACCAAGGCUAUGACGGGUAGCUGGUCUGAGAGGACGACCAGCCACACUGGAACUGAGACACGGUCCAGACACCUACGGGUGGCAGCAGUCGAGAAUUUUUCACAAUGGGGGAAACCCUGAUGGAGCGACGCCGCGUGGAGGAUGAAGGUUUUCGGAUCGUAAACUCCUGUCAUUAGAGAACAAGGCACAUGGUUUAACUGGCCGUGUGUUGAUAGUAUCUGAAGAGGAAGGGACGGCUAACUCUGUGCCAGCAGCCGCGGUAAUACAGAGGUCUCAGGCGUUGUUCGGAUUCAUUGGGCGUAAAGGGUGCGUAGGUGGCGAGGUAAGUCGGAUGUGAAAUCUCCAAGCUCAACUUAGAAACUGCAUUCGAUACUGCUUUGCUAGAGGAUUGUAGAGGGCAUUGGAAUUCACGGUGUAGCAGUGAAAUGCGUAGAUAUCGUGAGGAAGACCAGUGGCGAAGGCGAAUGCCUGGGCAAUUCCUGACACUGAGGCACGAAGGCCAGGGGAGCAAACGGGAUUAGAUACCCCGGUAGUCCUGGCAGUAAACGGUGCACGUUUGGUGUGGGAGGAUUCGACCCCUUCCGUGCCGGAGCUAACGCGUUAAACGUGCCGCCUGGGGAGUACGGUCGCAAGAUUAAAACUCAAAGAAAUUGACGGGGACCCGCACAAGCGGUGGAGUAUGUGGCUUAAUUCGAUGCAACGCGAAGAACCUUACCUGGCCUUGACAUGCAUCUCUAAUCCGGUGAAAGCCGGUGAGUGUAGCAAUACACAAUUUGCACAGGUGCUGCAUGGCUGUCGUCAGCUCGUGUCGUGAGAUGUUGGGUUAAGUCCCGCAACGAGCGCAACCC